This 189-nucleotide unclassified non-coding RNA is filed under the name uncultured fungus. Its description in RNAcentral is "sequence contains ITS1, 5.8S rRNA gene". Lineage: Eukaryota; Fungi. The record is from RNAcentral.
UUAACUAUUAUAUAGUACUCAGACGACACUAUAAUUCAGAGUUUUGGGUCCUCUGGCGGGCACUCACCAGCCGAAGCCAGUAGCCGAAGCGGCCCGCCAAAGCAACAAAGGUAUGUAUUCAAGGGUGGGAGGUCUACCCGUGAGGGCAUGAACUCUGUAAUGAUCCUUCCGCAGGUUCACCUACGGAAA